Molecule: transfer RNA, 67 nt
Filed under: Salina celebensis
Lineage: Eukaryota; Metazoa; Arthropoda; Collembola; Entomobryomorpha; Paronellidae
Description: tRNA-Val
Source: RNAcentral
CAAAAUGGAGCUUGAUGAUAAGCAAUUCACUUACAAUGAAAAGAUCUCUUUCGCCAGGGUGUUUUGA